RNAcentral lists this ribosomal RNA (760 nucleotides) under uncultured Stenotrophomonas sp. RNAcentral's name for it is "bacterial SSU rRNA". It matches the Rfam family "Bacterial small subunit ribosomal RNA", at positions 28 to 776 of the family's 1533-position model. Lineage: Bacteria; Pseudomonadati; Pseudomonadota; Gammaproteobacteria; Lysobacterales; Lysobacteraceae. The record is from RNAcentral.
AGUGAACGCUGGCGGUAGGCCUAACACAUGCAAGUCGAACGGCAGCACAGAGGAGCUUGCUCCUUGGGUGGCGAGUGGCGGACGGGUGAGGAAUACAUCGGAAUCUACUCUGUCGUGGGGGAUAACGUAGGGAAACUUACGCUAAUACCGCAUACGACCUACGGGUGAAAGCAGGGGACCUUCGGACCUUGCGCGAUUGAAUGAGCCGAUGUCGGAUUAGCUAGUUGGCGGGGUAAAGGCCCACCAAGGCGACGAUCCGUAGCUGGUCUGAGAGGAUGAUCAGCCACACUGGAACUGAGACACGGUCCAGACUCCUACGGGAGGCAGCAGUGGGGAAUAUUGGACAAUGGGCGCAAGCCUGAUCCAGCCAUACCGCGUGGGUGAAGAAGGCCUUCGGGUUGUAAAGCCCUUUUGUUGGGAAAGAAAUCCAGCCGGCUAAUACCUGGUUGGGAUGACGGUACCCAAAGAAUAAGCACCGGCUAACUUCGUGCCAGCAGCCGCGGUAAUACGAAGGGUGCAAGCGUUACUCGGAAUUACUGGGCGUAAAGCGUGCGUAGGUGGUUAUUUAAGUCCGUUGUGAAAGCCCUGGGCUCAACCUGGGAACUGCAGUGGAUACUGGAUGACUAGAAUGUGGUAGAGGGUAGCGGAAUUUCCUGGUGUAGCAGUGAAAUGCGUAGAGAUCAGGAGGAACAUCCUUGGCGAAAGGCAGCUACCUGGACCAACAUUGACACUGAGGCGCGAAGCGUGGGGAGCAAACAAG